UGAUGAAAGGACCACAAACGACACAGAAUUAUACGACUAACGGUUCUCUGCGGUGUGAUAAAGAACAUGACCCACGAACCAUGAAAAAUGGCCUAGCCUGGGAUAUUGAUAAUUUCUGUAUAUAAUAAUCUUCGGGAUAUAGGCUUUCUAGAAAUGUUUUUCUUUUUUUUCAUAUGUUCUAUACUAUUUCGUUAAUAUGACGUUGAAUAUUGUGGUAUUUAAUGUUAAAAAAUUAACAUUUCGGGAUACACGUCACAACAAUAAACCUCCAAUGACCAUGUACAAUGUACAUGAACCUAUAAAUCUCUGAAUAUAUCAAGUUAUAUGCACUCAAAUAGCUAGAAUGGCUUAUUCAAUGAUCAUAAUAAGCAUUUUUGACCAAAUUUGGGAAAUGGAAAUAAGAAAUAUUUUGGAAAUGAUGUUCAAAGCCGUGAUUGUUCAACUUUACUUUUAAAUUAUUUUUACUUGAAUUUUAAAAUACUGAAAUAAGAAGAAUAAAUAUAGUAUGUAGUUUAUUUACAUGGUGAAAGAAGUGAAUUAUGGAACAAUUCUGUUUCAUAUCAUAUUCCAUAGUUUUUUUUUUUUUAUUUAUCUUUCUUAUUUUUUUUUAAGUAUCAAAACGACCGAGUAUCGAAAGCAAUGGUAACGAAAUAAGUUGACACCGCGUCUCGUCAAAACAUGUUGAAUUCGAAUUUACUCGGAAUUACACGUUCAACGAGCAUUUGCUGUGAAACCUGAUUAAAGGAAAAUUACUGUAGACACCUAAUCGUUUACAUAUGUCAGCAAGUCCUCAAAAGCAGCUUUAGGGGUUCCCAGGAGAUUCUGAUGCUCACUGUUAGACUUUCACUGUUGUCAAAAUCCAACCUUAUUUUCUCUUUUCUCAAAACUUCAGCUCUCAAAAACUUGUUUGAUUAAUUAUGUCACUCCUGUUUUGUUGAACAUGGUGUUGUCAGUAAUAGGUUCAAGUUCUUCUAUGUCUUGUUGUAGGUGAUUUGUACAGAAGCGAGCCCCGGCAGGAAUGAUGGCCUCUUUUGAAAUGAAGAUUUCAUGCCUUACUCCUACUGGGACUACAACUAACUUUGGACCUGGUCACUCGCAGAUACAGCAUGAAGUGUGCCCUCUUGAUGUAUAUGGGGAUGGGAGUGAUACAGAAGGGGGACUAAUUGGAAGAACUGCUGCUGCUGGUGGUGGUGCUGGACUGUCUUGAAUCUGUUGCCUAACCGACUUGAUAUUCUUCUGUUUAAUAUGGGAGCAACACACACAAUCUGGCAUAUAUUGCACAGAAAAUCAUGAUCAGAUGGUGCCCUCCAUAUCAGAGUGGUGAUCACUGACCUAUAUUUCUUUGAAAUCCUGGAUCUGUGUUUUGGUUUUACUUUCCAUGGACAGUUGAAACAGAGAAAGAAUUAGGGACCACUCCUUGGCAUAUCUGAAAUAUUUAUGUCAUAUACAUGUAAUUAAAAUAUACAAUUUGGGUUGGAUGAAAAUCUUAUCUUCAUGUUAAACCCAUUAGCCUAGGUUAUUUUUCCUAAAAUCUAAUUAUAAAUCAAUUAACUUGUUAAUUAAUGCUUGGUGAAUCAAUUAAUAAAUUGUAUUCAAAAACUUGGAAUUAUUUUUUUCCACUAAUAAACUGAAAAUGUGUAUCUUCAAA
Long non-coding RNA from Ostrea edulis (European flat oyster), 1648 nucleotides. RefSeq lists it as uncharacterized. The transcript has 2 exons. Lineage: Eukaryota; Metazoa; Mollusca; Bivalvia; Ostreida; Ostreidae. The record is from RefSeq and is a predicted model, not a curated record.